AACUGCGAUAAGUAAUGUGAAUUGCAGAAUUCAGUGAAUCAUCGAGUCUUUGAACGCACAUUGCGCCCCCUGGCAUUCCCGGGGGCAUGCCUGUCCGAGCGUCAUUGCUGCCCUUCAAGCCCGGCUUGUGUGUUGGGUCGUCGUCCCCUCCGGGGGACGGGCCCGAAAGGCAGCGGCGGCACCGCGUCCGGUCCUCGAGCGUAUGGGGCUUUGUCACCCGCUCGAUAAGGACCGGCCGGGCGCCAGCCGGCGUCUCCAACCUUUUUUUCUCAGGUUGACCUCGGAUCAGGUAGGGAUACCCGCUGAACUUAAGC
Molecule: unclassified non-coding RNA, 314 nt
Filed under: plant metagenome
Description: partial contains 5.8S ribosomal RNA, internal transcribed spacer 2, and large subunit ribosomal RNA
Rfam family: 5.8S ribosomal RNA (bases 1-104)
Source: RNAcentral